UUACUACAAUAAAUCCCUCUGCCGUAGCUUGACAUGCACUUUCAAAAAUGUGUAACUUUGCAUCAAGGCAACGCAGACCGCAAGGACUGUGAUUGGUCAAGUCAUCCUGUGUGUUGAUAGUCGGUGUUUCAAGCCGCAUACUGUGGGGAGUAGCAACAUGCUAGUUCACUGACAUAAGCUUUGCAAAUAAACUCAGACAUAUUUUGGUUACAAUGUCGGACGGGGUUAUGCGUUUGUAAAGUGUCUAUAUAUUAGUACGUUUUGAAAUUAGCACUUUACCAGCAAGCAGUACUUUGUGGGCAGUUGUGUUAAAGUUUGCUCGCUAACAGAACAUAAACUGGCUA
Molecule: long non-coding RNA, 344 nt
Organism: Etheostoma spectabile (orangethroat darter)
Lineage: Eukaryota; Metazoa; Chordata; Actinopteri; Perciformes; Percidae
Exons: 3
Source: RefSeq, a predicted model, not a curated record